UGGGGCGUGGCCAAGUGGUAAGGCAACGG
This 29-nucleotide transfer RNA is filed under the name Eucalyptus microtheca. RNAcentral describes it as "partial tRNA-Gln". The record is from RNAcentral. Lineage: Eukaryota; Viridiplantae; Streptophyta; Magnoliopsida; Myrtales; Myrtaceae.